UCUACGGGUGGCAGCAGUGAGGAAUAUUGGUCAAUGGGCGAGAGCCUGAACCAGCCAAGUCGCGUGAGGGAUGAAGGCCCUACGGGUUGUAAACUUCUUUUGCCGGGGAGCAAGUGGGUCCACGCGUGGGCUUCGCGAGAGUACCUGAAGAAAAAGCAUCGGCUAACUCCGUGCCAGCAGCCGCGGUAAUACGGAGGAUGCGAGCGUAAUCCGGAUCUAUUGGGUUUAAAGGGUGCGUAGGCGGGAUUUUAAGUCAGCGGUAAAAAUUCGGGGCUCAACCCCGUCGUGCCGUUGAAACUGAUGUACUUGAGUGGGCGAGGAGAAAGCGGAAUGCGUGGUGUAGCGGGGAAAUGCAUAGAUAUCACGCAGAACACCGAUUGCGAAGGCAGCAUACCGGCGCCCAACUGACGCUGAGGCACGAAAGCGUGGGGAUCGAACAGGAUUAGAUACCCUAGUAGUC
RNAcentral lists this ribosomal RNA (460 nucleotides) under uncultured bacterium. Its description in RNAcentral is "partial 16S ribosomal RNA". It matches the Rfam family "Bacterial small subunit ribosomal RNA", at positions 338 to 795 of the family's 1533-position model. The record is from RNAcentral.